UAAUCUUUAGAACCUAUAAUUUUAAACAAGGUGUCCAAAUGUUAAUGCGAUGGCAAAUCUCAAGAUAUAAAGGUGGUCCUGACAAAGGGUCUCAGCCUGAAACAUCGACUGCACCUCUACUUAGAGAUGCUGCCUGGCCUGCUGCAUUCACCAGCAACUUUGAUGUGUGUUGCUUGAAUUUCCAGCAUCUGCAGAAUUCCUGUUGUUUGCCUGAAAAGAAAACAAGACUGUUCUUGUUUAAAGUCUAUCUCCCUCCCCCACCCCCAAGGUAGGCUCAAACAGAAAUCCUGCAAAAUUUUCACAAUUAGUCACUUCAUUUUAUCAGUAUUUUUACUUCAGUUUUUUUUAAAAAGUGCGUCCACUAUAUUGAGUUAUCCACAUUUCUUUCAAAAAGGCUGUCCACCACAAUGGCCUUUUAUGCCACUUCUUAAGAAUUGAUGGCUGCUGUUUAAAAUUAACCUGCCUUACUGUCCAUCAGCAUUAUUACUCGGAGACUCAAUCUUCCUUCUUGUUAUUUAAACUGACAAACCAAGCAGCAAAGUGUGAAGUAUUCAAAAGUUGCUCUGGAGCUCGGUGGGUCACCCCUGCUGCAUGAAAGAUUGCCGCACUCCGCCCGGAGGCAAUCAGCAAACACGCCACUCCUGCGGCAGCCAGCAGCUGUUAACAGCUCGCACUGAGAUCCAUCAGUGGCACAGCUGGGCCGGAGGGAGCUGGCUCCGUGCCUGAGGGGCCUCAAUUGGACCCCUGUCUACUUCAAUCCUUUCCUGUAGGAACUGCAGCUUUACAGACUUCUGACAGACAGUCAUCGAUGUCUCAUUCGCGGAUACAGACCGCUACAAACACAAAUUUGUCGGUGAUUCACGCAAUUCCCGCGUGGUGCCUGCAGCUUUUAAGAUGACGAUUUGCUUAAGACCAGAAGGCCAUCAGACAUUGGUGAAGAAUUUAAAACUCAAAUUUGUUGUCUUUUGCACAUCGGCAUCAGAUGUGAUCUGGUGGUAUCAGAAACGAUCUGGCUAGCGUGGAUUGGGACAGGCUGUUUUCUGGCAAAGGUAUUUGGGGAUGUGGCAUGCAAAUUGUGAAUGGAUCUCCAAUCAAGUUGUAGUUGUUUCAGCCAAUCAUGGCUCAACAAUGUUGACCCUUCUGUUUUUAUCACAUACAAGCCCAAUGUGACUCGUUGCUUAUUGUAUUUCACUGUUAUGAAUGUCAUUACCACAAGAGUUACUUUUUCUCCAGUAUAUGUCCUUAGUUGAGUAUCUGCAGGUUUCAGUUCAUUAUCUUGAAAUGCCGUGGACUCAUUUUGUGGAAUGACUGAAACAGCUGGGCCAGUGUCCAAUUCCAUUUUAAUUAAUUUGCUGUUCACUUCGGGUGUAAACUGUAUUUCUUUUCUCCUGUACUUUUCACAUUGUAAAUCUUAAGACCAUGCAGUCAUGUAUCACCCUCAUCAUUAUCAAAUUUUUCAUCAAAAGCAUGCAGAUUAGUGCUAUUUUUGAAAAUGCAACCUGACUUUAGUAAUUCAUCUUUUUAUCUUUUUCUCUUCCCUGCACAUGCCACUUAUAAUUGCCUGCCAUCAUGCUCUUUGUACAGUAUGUGUCCUACUGUGUUGCAUUUGCUGCAAGUUUCACCUUUAAACCUGCAUUGGUCUGGUGUAUGUUAGCCCCUACCACAAUGGUAACAGAAUUAGUUGGGCUGUGCAGGUUUCUGUUUAGAUGUUGCAAUUUGUUCACAUUCACUUUUGUUCUUUUGUCUCACUCACCAAACCCAUGGAUCUGCUUCCUUGUAACAAGCCUCCGCUCAGGAAUCAAGAUAAUCCCAAUUUCCAUUGAGCUGUAAAAUUCCAACAGUGCUUGUGUUGGAGCAUAAAAGAGAAUGAGCCGAACACUAAAAGAUUUCCGUAAGUCUGUACCAGCAAAACAAAACUGCAUUCCAACAUGAAUCUUUUUGGGAAGUACCUGCAGGCAAAGGUACACAUCAGUGAUGAAAUUCACCAGCACAACCAAUGCAUCACCAGUGUAUUUAGCCAUCUGAAGUGAUAGUGUGUUUGAAAAUCAAGCCAUCAUAUGUGGGCAGUUGUGAUCUCUAUCCUUCGGUACACUUCUGAAACAUGCAUUUGCUACAGCAGGUACCCAAGUGCACAGGAUAGUUGUCAACAAUCCUCUAAAUUCAUUGGCAGCAUAAGCCAACUAAUGCUAACAUCUUCUCCUAGUCCAUGCCCCUAGUACUGAGGCCCUAAUCAUACUUAGCUGGCUCUGUUGAGUAGAUCAUAUCAUUUCUGUGCACAAUACCAAACCAGACAAUCUAACACAAGCUCUGUCAAAGGAAGCAGUUUUAACAGGUGGAUAGUGGAAGCAAUUCAGGGGUGUUUUCAAAGUCUCCUUAAGCAGGUAUAACAUCCAUUGGAAUCCCUGUCCCACAACACUCAAAAUGGGGAAGGGGUAUUCCAGAUGGCACUGAGAACGUGGAGUCCAUGCACAGGAAGCACUCAGAAACCUCCUGUCACUCGUGAGGUGGUACCAGCUUCCAAACUUACAAUACACCCUUUCAAACCCAUCUGUGACAGAACUUGCAUUUCCCCUUUUGGCCUUAUUAGUCAUUUCAUAAACCACAGCCUAAAGUGGAAAUAUGUCCUUCUUAACUUUCAUUGUCUAAAAAGAAGGCAUGCAAUAUAAAUUUGGAAUGGAAAUUAAUGAUAAUAAAGCACUGGUUGAAAUAAGUUUCUGAGCUGUGACAGAUUGGAAAAGGAAAUAGGAAAUAUCAUAUGGAGUCGUAUUAUUAAAAUACUAAGCAGUUCUCUUGCCUGCAGUAUCUGGAGACAGGGCCAGCGUCCUGUUGGCCGAAAGCUGGUUCCAAGAGAAAAAAUCUAUGACAAAAAAUUCCUGUUUGAGUGUCGAAUUUCCCUGCAUUCUUAUCCUGCAGGCAGUAGGUUAUGGUAUGCAAUGGAGAUUAGAAUCAGAUACAUUCUGUAUCAAUUAGAACAACACAUGGCUAAAUACACUAAUUUACAAGCCAGGACAAAUUUAGAUAGCACUUCUGUUGUAGCAGGAUCAUAUAGUAGCAAAACUAAAGGAAAACGCCUCCACCCAGCUGCAUGCUGUAAAUUCACUCCAACACAAACAAUGUCAAGAUUAGGCUGAAAAGAUCUGGCUGCUCCAUGUGUUAAAUGAUGAUUGGAAGCACUGACUCACGUUAUCCUGACUGAGAAAUAUUGAUUUCUAAUGCUUACCUGUGUCUGAGAUUCACAUGAAAAUGUUAUAUACAAUGAACUAGAACGGUAUAUUUCUAUAAAAUAAAAUCAUACAUGAUGACCUG
This is a long non-coding RNA of Mobula hypostoma (lesser devil ray), 3306 nucleotides long. RefSeq lists it as uncharacterized. The record is from RefSeq and is a predicted model, not a curated record. Lineage: Eukaryota; Metazoa; Chordata; Chondrichthyes; Myliobatiformes; Myliobatidae. The transcript is spliced from 4 exons.